CAGGCGCUUGAGAGAACUCAGGAGAAGGAACUCGGCAAAUUGACACCGUAACUUCGGAAGAAGGUGUGCCCUAGUAGUGUGAAGUGAACAACGGAGCAUGAAUGGGUUGCAAAAAAUCGGUGGCUGCGACUGUUUAUUAAAAACACAGCACUCUGCAAACACGAAAGUGGACGUAUAGGGUGUGACGCCUGCCCGGUGCUGGAAGAUUAAAUGAUGGGGUGCAAGCUCUUGAUUGAAGUCCCAGUAAACGGCGGCCGUAACGAUAACGGUCCUAAGGUAGCGAAAUUCCUUGUCGGGUAAGUUCCGACCUGCACGAAUGGCGUAACGAUGGCCACACUGUCUCCUCCUGAGACUCAGCGAAGUUGAAAUGUUUGUGAUGAUGCAAUCUCCCCGCGGAAAGACGGAAAGACCCCAUGAACCUUUACUGUAGCUUUGUAUUGGACUUUGAACAGAUCUGUGUAGGAUAGGUGGGAGGCUUUGAAGCAGGGUCGCUAGAUCUUGUGGAGCCAACGUUGAAAUACCACCCUGGUGUGUUUGAGGUUCUAACCUAGGUCCAUUAUCUGGAUCGGGGACAGUGCAUGGUAGGCAGUUUGACUGGGGCGGUCUCCUCCCAAAGCGUAACGGAGGAGUUCGAAGGUACGCUAGUUACGGUCGGACAUCGUGACGAUAGUGCAAUGGCAUAAGCGUGCUUAACUGCGAGACUGACAAGUCGAGCAGAUGCGAAAGCAGGACAUAGUGAUCCGGUGGUUCUGUAUGGAAGGGCCAUCGCUCAACGGAUAAAAGGUACUCUGGGGAUAACAGGCUGAUACCGCCCAAGAGUUCAUAUCGACGGCGGUGUUUGGCACCUCGAUGUCGGCUCAUCUCAUCCUGGGGCUGUAGCCGGUCCCAAGGGUAUGGCUGUUCGCCAUUUAAAGAGGUACGUGAGCUGGGUUUAAAACGUCGUGAGACAGUUUGGUCCCUAUCUUCCGUGGGCGCUGCAGAUUUGAGGAAGCCUGCUCCUAGUACGAGAGGACCGGAGUGGACACACCUCUGGUGUAUCGGUUGUCACGCCAGUGGCAUUGCCGAGUAGCUAAGUGUGGAAGAGAUAACCGCUGAAAGCAUCUAAGCGGGAAACUCGUUUCAAGAUGAGAUCUGCCGGGGCCUUGAGCCCCCUGAAGAGUCGUUCAAGACCAGGACGUUGAUAGGUCAGGUGUGGAAGCGCAGUAAUGCGUUAAGCUAACUGAUACUAAUUGCUCGUGCGGCUUGAUCAA
RNAcentral lists this ribosomal RNA (1250 nucleotides) under metagenome. RNAcentral's name for it is "bacterial LSU rRNA". It matches the Rfam family "Bacterial large subunit ribosomal RNA", at positions 1683 to 2925 of the family's 2925-position model. The record is from RNAcentral.